RNAcentral lists this ribosomal RNA (254 nucleotides) under uncultured bacterium. RNAcentral describes it as "partial 16S ribosomal RNA". It matches the Rfam family "Bacterial small subunit ribosomal RNA", at positions 524 to 776 of the family's 1533-position model. The record is from RNAcentral.
UACGUAGGGGGCAAGCGUUAUCCGGAUUUACUGGGUGUAAAGGGAGCGUAGGUGGCAUGGUAAGCCAGAAGUGAAAACCCGAGGCUCAACCCCGCGGAUUGCUUUUGGAACUAUCAGGCUGGAGUGCUGGAGGGGUAAGCGGAAUUCCUAGUGUAGCGGUGAAAUGCGUAGAUAUUAGGAGGAACACCGGUGGCGAAGGCGGCUUACUGGACAGAAACUGACACUGAGGCUCGAAAGCGUGGGGAGCAAACAGG